RNAcentral lists this ribosomal RNA (251 nucleotides) under uncultured prokaryote. RNAcentral describes it as "partial 16S rRNA". It matches the Rfam family "Bacterial small subunit ribosomal RNA", at positions 525 to 775 of the family's 1533-position model. The record is from RNAcentral.
ACGGAGGAUCCGGGCGUUAUCCGGAAUUACUGGGUUUAAAGGGUGCGUAGGCGGGGGUUUAAGUCGGCGGUGAAAUGCAGCGGCUCAACCGGUGGGAGGCCGUUGGGACUGGGGGUCUUGGAUACGGUCGGGGCGGGUGGAAUUCGUGGUGUAGCGGUGAAAUGCAUAGAUAUCACGAGGAACGCCGGUAGCGAAGGCAGCUCGCCGGGCCGGUAUUGACGCUGAGGCGCGAAAGCGUGGGGAUCGAACAG